RNAcentral lists this ribosomal RNA (253 nucleotides) under uncultured bacterium. RNAcentral's name for it is "partial 16S ribosomal RNA". It matches the Rfam family "Bacterial small subunit ribosomal RNA", at positions 524 to 776 of the family's 1533-position model. The record is from RNAcentral.
UACGAAGGGGGCUAGCGUUGUUCGGAAUUACUGGGCGUAAAGCGCACGUAGGCGGACUAUUAAGUCAGGGGUGAAAUCCCGGGGCUCAACCCCGGAACUGCCUUUGAUACUGGUAGUCUCGAGUCCGGAAGAGGUGAGUGGAAUCCCGAGUGUAGAGGUGAAAUUCGUAGAUAUUCGGAGGAACACCGGUGGCGAAGGCGGCCCACUGGUCCGGUACUGACGCUGAGGUGCGAAAGCGUGGGGAGCAAACAGG